This 561-nucleotide ribosomal RNA is filed under the name Chaetomium sp. T6. Its description in RNAcentral is "eukaryotic LSU rRNA". The stretch from base 239 to 392 matches the Rfam family "5.8S ribosomal RNA". The record is from RNAcentral. Lineage: Eukaryota; Fungi; Ascomycota; Sordariomycetes; Sordariales; Chaetomiaceae.
AUUUAGAGGAAGUAAAAGUCGUAACAAGGUCUCCUUUGGUGAACCAGCGGAGGGAUCAUUACAGAGUUGCAAAACUCCCUAAACCAUUGUGAACGUUACCUAAACCGUUGCUUCGGGCGGGCGGGCCCCGGGGUUUACCCCCCGUACGCCCCUAGCCCCACCGCGGAGCGCCCGCCGGAGGUCACCAAACUCUUAUUAAUUUAUGGCCUCUCUGAGUCUUCUAUACUGAAUAAGUCAAAACUUUCAACAACAGGAUCUCUUGGUUCUGGCAUCGAUGAAGAACGCAGCGAAAUGCGAUAAGUAAUGUGAAUUGCAGAAUUCAGUGAAUCAUCGAAUCUUGAACGCACAUGGCGCCCUCCAGUAUUCUUGCGGGCAUGCCUGUUCGAGCGUCAUUUCAACCAUCAAGCCCCCGGGCUUGUGUUGGGGACCUGGCGGCUCCGCAGACCCUGAAAAGCAAUGGCGGGCUGGGCUGUCUCUCCGAUGGGUAGUAGGCAUACAUAUCAACUCUAAAAGGCUCUUGGUCUCUUCGUCAAAGAGAGCAUAUCAACAUAUCAAUAAGCG